ACUUACAAUGCAUGUAAUAAGUUACAUAGACACUGUGGCAAGAGUUGCACAUUUCUCUACCUCAAAAAGUUAAUAAUGAAACAGUAUGCAAUUCCAAGGUUUGAAGUCACAUAACUAGGAUCCGUCUAUACUGAAUUUCUCGUCAUACCUAUCCUACGAUCAUAGAAUCAAGAAAACAUCUACCAAAACUGGGUUACUGUUGCUCCAACAACAAUAACCAUUCCUGCAAAAUCCUGAAUCUAGAAUAUAUCAUGCAAACACUCACAUGAUGACUCCUUCAACAUUGUUAAGAGCCUUCUUUGCAAUCUUGAAUUUAUCUGCCAGAGACUUUUGGCUAUCAAUGACAUACUUGCGGAUAAAGAAGACAAUCCCAUCACGAAGUGAUUCAUACUCUGGCAAAAGAGCAAUUCGAGUAAAGAUGUUCCAGACAAGCUUUUCAGGAAACUCCAAGAUAGUCUCAAAUAGCAUCCGAAAGUGCAUGAUUCUUUUUGGAGUCAAUUGUGAAGAAUCACUGAGAUCAACAGCCUUCAGUACAGCAAGUGAAAGGCUAAAAGAAGCAACCAUCUCUGCAACAAACUUGGAUAAGUGCAUUGAUCUGAUCAGCUGCAUCUGAUCAAGCUCCUUGAAAUGAUCCCACAGACAGUACUGCAGGGUGAACUUAUUGUUUUUAUCAUGGCUGCAUAACUUGGAAGCUAGAGCACAAUAGUAUUUGUUAAAAGCUUUCUCCUGUAAACAGCAUUCCACCAAAACUCUUAUGAUUUCCCUAUCCUGCUUGCCUUGCAAAUCUAAUCUUAGAAGUUUCUCAAAUGCAUCUAUAUAGUCCUCCCCACUCAUUAUUACGCAGAAAAUUGCCCUUCUUGCAUCAGUAUUCAUCCUCUGAGCAGCAGCAAGCUGGAGCAUCUUUUGAGCCUCAGUGACCUCCAAAUCAAUUGUGCUGGCAACAUCUUGAACAUCAGUUGUGGAAUCAAUAUUUCCAGACAUCCACCACUGGCCUCUCUUGUCAGGAUCAAUCAGCUUGCUCCACUUUAACCCUCGAAUCAAUAUAUCAACUACUCUGAGCUGUUGUAGCCAUUUCUUUAUUCGGGUAAGCUGCAAGGUCUCCUCCUUCGUCCUUUUUUUAUUGUUUUUGAUAUCACAUAUCAUCUCAAGCAUGAAUUCCAUCCUUUUCCCCAUACUGUUUGAUUGUCCUUCCCCAGAUGAGGAUUUCAAUUCAUUCACCCUAUUCUGAACGCUAACUAUAAAAUUCUUCAUGCCAACAGGAUCAUCACCUCUCAAUUUCAUCCCACAAGCUUGAAGCACUGUCAAUAUGGUAGAAACAUCCACUUCUGUCAGUCUCUUGCUCAAUGUCACCAAGAAAUCAUAUAUCAAGUCACUUGAGCAAACACCAAAAGUGUACAAGUAUGAGAGCAGAAGUGUCAGGUUCCUAACAGAGAGGUUAUCUUCAUUCUGAUACUCAUCCUCAAAACAUUUAGCCAUAGAUGCCAGAAGUUUGGCGCCAAAGUCCAUCCCAACCAAACAUGCCAUGCCAGCAACAAAAGCAGCAAAAACUGCUGCAUACUGUUCAUUGCCACGCGGACCUCUAGAACAUGAUGCCAGAACCUCAUCAUUGAUAAUCUGAGAACCAAAGGUGCGACCAACAGUCUGGUAGAUCGUGGAAAUUUCACUUGUGAUCGAUUCCACGUUAGCCUCGGACAUCCUAUUCAGAAGACCUCUUAGUCGUCGACGAAUUUGAGCGAACUCUUCCGAAUCAUUUCCCAAGCAUGACCUCAGGCGAGGAGCAACAUAUAUUGCAUUUUCUUUGGCAGCAGAUCUAGCUGCUGCCUUCACAUCUGUACAGUAUGAAGUGCUCUCAGCUUUCUGCUCUUCCUCUUGAUUGUAAUCUUCUCCUUGCACUUCUUUAUUAUAUCUUUUCUCUUUAGAUCUUUCAUUUGAGGAGCUCGUAUCACGCUUUCGAGGUGUUUCUCCAACAAGUUGUGUAUUUUCAUCCUCAAAAGAAUCCAGAAGUGAAGGAAUUCCCUCAAAUAAAUUAUUCAUAUCAUCA
This 2041-nucleotide unclassified non-coding RNA is filed under the name Hevea brasiliensis (rubber tree). The record is from RNAcentral. Lineage: Eukaryota; Viridiplantae; Streptophyta; Magnoliopsida; Malpighiales; Euphorbiaceae.